CAAAACUUUAUGCCAAACGUAGAUUUUUUUUUCUGCCUCUUUAAAACAUUUAAGUGAUUUAAUUUGCCAAAAGUAGCAAAAUAAUUCUUAAUGCAUUUAUUUUUGUUGUCCAAACAAGCAGCUUUGAGAGUCUAUAGGUUUAAGGACUUUCAAAAGCUUUACUUUCUUCAAUACAGUAAGACAAUCAUGUUUGCCCUUGUAAAUGAGGAAAAGUAUGAGGUAAUGGUUAUUAAAAGAAGGAUUCUGGUCAGGCACAAUGGCUCACGCCUGUAAUCCCAGCACUGUGGGAGGCUGAGGUGGGCGGAUCACCUGAGGUCAGGAGUUUGAGACCAGGCCGACCAACAUGACAAAUCCCCGUCUCUACCAAAAAUACCAAAAUUAGCCUUGUGUGGUGGUGGGUGCCUGCAAUCCCAACUACUUGGGAGGCUGAGGCAGGAUAAUUGCCUGAACCCAGAAGGUGGAGGUUGUAGUGAGCGAAGAUCAUACCAUUGCCCUCCAGCCUGUGUGACAGAGUGAGACUCUGUCUCAAAAAAGAAGGAUUCUAUUUAGAACAGUUAGAGUCAAAGAACUUCCAGGCUAAUGGGAGAAACAGAUGAGUACCCAGUAAUGCUAUACAAUAAUCCCAUGUUAUACAAUUAGGUACUAUAAUUGAAGAUCUUAGAUGAAUUGUUAGCAAACACAUUAUUCUGAGCUUCUUUAAAAUUUGAAUUUCAUUUCAUUUGGUUCUGGGACAUAAAUAACUGUGACACUUAUGAACUCUAAGGUUGUAUUUAUAUCAGAAAGUCAGCUCUACAGAUCAAUACGCACAAGAUUAACAAUCUGAAGAGAAAUGGGCAAAAUGUAAGUAAAGAUUUCCACUUCACCCUAUAUGUUGGUUAUGGUCUUUGUGAUUUGAUUGCUUAUCCUGGAUGAGAAAUGCGUUGAAGAGCUCAGAUGGUGGACAUGCCAGGACUACUCAAGAAUUGAAGCUCUCCUUAAGGACAAUGUGGACAGUUCUUUUCAAUGGACUGGACAGUCUUACAUGUUUUCAGACUGGCCAAGGAACAGUUUAUUUUGCUGAGGUCACUAAAGCUUUUUUUUUUCUGCCUUCUGUCUGAGGAGAAAGGAGUAAGUAAAAAGAUAACUGUAAUCUAUAAAGGAAAUGGGAAGGAAUAAAAGGCAUUGUGAGUAUAUACUCUUUGGAAUGGAUGGUGUUUGAUUUAGUUUAGGCAUAAGAGUGGACUGCUGGAUUCCUUCCUCUUUGAACUCUUGUAUCUUCAAAUUUUAUUUGUAUCCAUCGUAGCUCUUUGCCUCCAGUCCCAGAUAAAGUGUCAUUUCUUUUGCAGAAGCGAAUGGCUUUACCGGCUUUCAGAAGCAUUUGCCUUCCAUCUCUGUCAACAUUGGGGUUUCCCUCCACCAGCAAUCACUUCUUCUAUUUGAUUUCUGUUCUCUUCCACAUUACUGCCUCCUGCCUCAAAGUUUAUGAGUCUAUAAGUUCUCUAAUUUACCCCAUCUCUGUAAAUCUACAAACAAAAUAAAUAUUAUUAAAGUCUA
Molecule: non-coding RNA, 1533 nt
Organism: Callithrix jacchus (white-tufted-ear marmoset)
Lineage: Eukaryota; Metazoa; Chordata; Mammalia; Primates; Cebidae
Source: RefSeq, a predicted model, not a curated record